GUUUGUUACAGUUGUGUUACAGUUACAGUAACGUAACUACUUUUUUGAGUAAAAAGUAGUGUAACGCGUUACUACUGAAAAUUUGGUAACGUAACGUAGUUCCUUUUUCGUAUCGGCGCAACGUUACUUUUCCCAG
This is a long non-coding RNA of Alosa sapidissima (American shad), 136 nucleotides long. RefSeq lists it as uncharacterized. The transcript is spliced from 4 exons. The record is from RefSeq and is a predicted model, not a curated record. NCBI's taxonomy places the organism in Eukaryota, Metazoa, Chordata, Actinopteri, Clupeiformes, Clupeidae.